UGGGGAAUAUUGGACAAUGGGCGCAAGCCUGAUCCAGCAAUGCCGCGUGUGUGAAGAAGGCCUUCGGGUUGUAAAGCACUUUUAUCAGGAGCGAAACGCUGUCGGCUAAUACCCGGCGGAACUGACGGUACCUGAGGAAUAAGCACCGGCUAACUUCGUGCCAGCAGCCGCGGUAAUACGAAGGGUGCAAGCGUUAAUCGGAAUUACUGGGCGUAAAGCGUGCGUAGGCGGUUUCUUAAGUCUGCUGUGAAAUCCCCGGGCUCAACCUGGGAAUGGCAGUGGAUACUGGGAGGCUAGAGUGUGUCAGAGGGUGGUGGAAUUCCCGGUGUAGCGGUGAAAUGCGUAGAGAUCGGGAGGAACAUCAGUGGCGAAGGCGGCCACCUGGGACAACACUGACGCUGAGGCACGAAAGCGUGGGGGAGCAAACAGGAUUAGAUACCCUGGUAGUCCACGCCCUAAACGAUGCGAACUGGAUGUUGGUCUCAACUCGGAGAUCAGUGUCGAAGCUAACGCGUUAAGUUCGCCGCCUGGGGAGUACGGUCGCAAGACUGAAACUCAAAGGAAUUGACGGGGUCAUAGCUGUUUCCUG
RNAcentral lists this ribosomal RNA (589 nucleotides) under uncultured bacterium. RNAcentral's name for it is "partial 16S ribosomal RNA". It matches the Rfam family "Bacterial small subunit ribosomal RNA", at positions 355 to 1376 of the family's 1533-position model. The record is from RNAcentral.